This 453-nucleotide ribosomal RNA is filed under the name uncultured bacterium. RNAcentral's name for it is "bacterial SSU rRNA". It matches the Rfam family "Bacterial small subunit ribosomal RNA", at positions 8 to 507 of the family's 1533-position model. The record is from RNAcentral.
AGAGUUUGAUCCUGGCUACAGAACGAACGCUGGCGGCAUGCCUAACACAUGCAAGUCGAACGAGACCUUCGGGUCUAGUGGCGCACGGGUGCGUAACGCGUGGGAAUCUGCCCUGGGGUGCGGAAUAACUCGGAGAAAUCCGUGCUAAUACCGCAUAAUGUCUUCGGACCAAAGAUUUAUCGCCUGGGAUGAGCCCGCGUAGGAUUAGCUAGUUGGUGGGGUAAAGGCCUACCAAGGCGACGAUCCUUAGCUGGUCUGAGAGGAUGAUCAGCCACACUGGGACUGAGACACGGCCCAGACUCCUACGGGAGGCAGCAGUGGGGAAUAUUGGACAAUGGGCGAAAGCCUGAUCCAGCAAUGCCGCGUGAGUGAUGAAGGCCCUAGGGUUGUAAAGCUCUUUUACCCGGGAUGAUAAUGACAGUACCGGGAGAAUAAGCUCCGGCUAACUCCGUG